RNAcentral lists this long non-coding RNA (671 nucleotides) under Homo sapiens (human). RNAcentral describes it as "HSALNT0293504". The record is from RNAcentral. Lineage: Eukaryota; Metazoa; Chordata; Mammalia; Primates; Hominidae.
AUUUCUAUACCCUAUUUUUCUCUUAUCCCCAUUUUCUUUUCUUAAAAAAUAGUGUAUUGGACAUAUUAUGUGUUUUGAAACAAAGUAGAAUACAAAUAAACAAAUAAGUCGACUUUCUGUCCAAACAAGACAGCAUGAAAAGCAGGAACUUGGUGGUGGUAUGACGUUUCAAUGAACCAAAGAGGCUCUGAUUACCGUCUGUAGACACCCACGGCACAAUUAUUAAGUUCAUUAGACAGAGAGGAAUCUGGAUUCAGCUGUGACAGGACAGCAAAUUAAAUAUACAUGGACAAAAGGAGGAGGCAUUCAAGCUUUUUAUAGUCUUCAACAACAACCAGUCCCUACAUUUAAGAAGGUUAAUAACUGAGACAGCCUUCCUGGUGGAUCCAUCAUUUGGCCCAGCUUGUAGAAAGAUUCCCAACUAGCUCUAAUUAGUUCCAUCUUAUUUGGAGGCAGAGGUAUUCCUCAUCAUACCCAUAUCCUCAUAUAAAUUGUCCAGUGCCCUAGGUACCAGGGAGAAAGAAGACGAAGAAGGACAUAUACCAGAAGCACAUUAAUAGGCUGCUGAAAAACUCUGCCACACUUUCAGAUGACAGGUCACCUACAGAUAAAUGAUUCAAGGAUCAACCAAGUUCUGAAGUUUUUUUUUGUUUUUUUUUUUUGGGAUAGAG